ACGCGUAUGCAAUCUACCUCUUACUGAGGGAUAGCCCAUGGAAACGUGGAUUAAUACCUCAUAGUAUUAUAGACUGGCCUCAGUUUAUGAUUAAAGGUUACGGUAAGAGAUGAGCAUGCGUCCUAUUAGCUAGAUGGUAAGGUAACGGCUUACCAUGGCUACGAUAGGUAGGGGUCCUGAGAGGGAGAUCCCCCACACUGGUACUGAGACACGGACCAGACUCCUACGGGAGGCAGCAGUGAGGAAUAUUGGACAAUGGGCGAGAGCCUGAUCCAGCCAUGCCGCGUGCAGGAAGACGGCCCUAUGGGUUGUAAACUGCUUUUACAGAGGAAGAACCCUCCUUACGUGUAAGGAGCUGACGGUACUCUAUGAAUAAGGAUCGGCUAACUCCGUGCCAGCAGCCGCGGUAAUACGGAGGAUCCAAGCGUUAUCCGGAAUCAUUGGGUUUAAAGGGUCCGUAGGCGGGUCUAUAAGUCAGUGGUGAAAGUCUGCAGCUUAACUGUAGAACUGCCAUUGAUACUGUAGACCUUGAAUUAGUAUGAAGUGGUUAGAAUGUGUAG
This 560-nucleotide ribosomal RNA is filed under the name Salegentibacter sp. NH88-47. Its description in RNAcentral is "bacterial SSU rRNA". It matches the Rfam family "Bacterial small subunit ribosomal RNA", at positions 113 to 673 of the family's 1533-position model. The record is from RNAcentral. Lineage: Bacteria; Pseudomonadati; Bacteroidota; Flavobacteriia; Flavobacteriales; Flavobacteriaceae.